Molecule: long non-coding RNA, 453 nt
Organism: Spea bombifrons (plains spadefoot toad)
Lineage: Eukaryota; Metazoa; Chordata; Amphibia; Anura; Pelobatidae
Exons: 3
Source: RefSeq, a predicted model, not a curated record
UACAGCAUUUCGUUCUGGAGACCCAGUCUCCAUAAGUAUAUUGACUUCUUGGAGAGAGUUCAGAGGAGAGCUACCAAAAUGAUCUUUCCAAUAGCAAUACAAAACAGCUAUAGAAAAUGGCAGAUGAUCUAAAGCGAAUGAGAAAACAGCUCAUUGAUCGCCUGAAUGUAGCGGUGAUAAACUGCCUCCUGGACAGACUGCUGAGUGAGCAGGUGAUCAAUGAUGCAGAGAAAGAACUGGUAACCCUACAGAAUUUGGUGACAUCGGACAAAGCUAGGUGUCUAGUCGACAUGAUCAUAAAAAAAGGAAACAAGGCUUCAGAACUAUUUAAAUGUGCACUGAAAGAGGAAGAUCCAACGUUAAGUAGAGAAUUGGAAUGGUUAUAAAACAUGUUUAACCAAUCACCAUGCCUAUCUACCUAUUUUCCAGAGAAAAAUUUGUUUUUGGAUAUAA